AGAGUUUGAUCCUGGCUCAGAGUGAACGCUGGCGGCAGGCCUAACACAUGCAAGUCGAGCGGCAGCGCGGUGGUAGCAAUACCACUGGCGGCGAGCGGCGGACGGGUGAGGAAUGCGUCGGAAUCUGCCUCUUUGUGGGGGAUAACGUAGGGAAACUUACGCUAAUACCGCAUACGACCUACGGGUGAAAGUGGGGGACCUUCGGGCCUCACGCAGAGAGAUGAGCCGACGCCGGAUUAGCUAGUUGGCGGGGUAAAGGCCCACCAAGGCGACGAUCGGUAGCUGAUCUGAGAGGAUGAUCAGCCACACUGGAACUGAGACACGGUCCAGACUCCUACGGGAGGCAGCAGUGGGGAAUAUUGGACAAUGGGCGCAAGCCUGAUCCAGCCAUGCCGCGUGGGUGAAGAAGGCCUUCGGGUUGUAAAGCCCUUUUGUCCGGAAAGAAAAGCACGGGAUUAAUACCCUCGUGUGAUGACGUACCGGAAGAAU
Molecule: ribosomal RNA, 489 nt
Filed under: uncultured Gammaproteobacteria bacterium
Lineage: Bacteria; Pseudomonadati; Pseudomonadota; Gammaproteobacteria
Description: bacterial SSU rRNA
Rfam family: Bacterial small subunit ribosomal RNA
Source: RNAcentral